Molecule: ribosomal RNA, 457 nt
Filed under: uncultured bacterium
Lineage: Bacteria
Description: bacterial SSU rRNA
Rfam family: Bacterial small subunit ribosomal RNA
Source: RNAcentral
GGUCUAACACUAGUGGUGGAGCAUGUGGUUUAAUGCGAUAAUCCGCGCAAAACCUUACCAAUUCUUGACAUAGUUAAAUCAUUAUUUUUCAUUCGAUUUAGGAAGACAAAAAUAAUAUUUUAUUACAGGUGUUGCACGACUGUCGUCAGCUCGUGUCGUGAGAUGUUUGGUUAAGUCCUGAAACGGGCGCAACUCUUACUUUUAAAUAAAGUUUUACGUGCUAAAAAGUUUAAAUUUUUUAAGCUUUUUAAAUGCUUUAAAAGUACCGUCAAUGAUAAAUUGAAGGAAGGUAAGAAUGAAGUCAAGUCAAUGUGACCCUAAUGAAUUGGGCUACACAUGUGCUACAAUGAAAAUUACAAAAAGUGACAAAAAGAAGUUUUAAGUUAAAUCAACAAAGAUUUUCCCAGUUCGAAUUGUAGACUGCAACUCGUCUACAUGAAGUUGGAAUCACUAGUAA